This 242-nucleotide long non-coding RNA is filed under the name Setaria italica (foxtail millet). RNAcentral's name for it is "long non-coding RNA (SITA_LNC002384)". The record is from RNAcentral. Lineage: Eukaryota; Viridiplantae; Streptophyta; Magnoliopsida; Poales; Poaceae.
AGAAGUUCAAGAUGAGCCGAUCGGGCAAGAAUCAAUGAGUGAUGCUAACGUAGCAGAACAAGUUGAGAUACCCAUGGCAAGAGAGGCACCGCCACAACCACGAAGGUCAGCAAGGCUCCGCGAAAUGCGGGAAAUAUUAUUAUUGGACAAUGAUGAGCCUGCAACAUAUGCAGAAGCAAUGAUGGACCCAGACUCCGAAAAAUGGCAGAGUGCCAUGCAAUCCGAAAUAGAGUCCAUGGGAG